RNAcentral lists this small nuclear RNA (324 nucleotides) under Oryctolagus cuniculus (rabbit). Its description in RNAcentral is "7SK RNA". It matches the Rfam family "7SK RNA". Rfam says of the family: 7SK was discovered as an abundant small nuclear RNA in the mid-70s but a possible function has only recently been suggested. The record is from Rfam by way of RNAcentral. Lineage: Eukaryota; Metazoa; Chordata; Mammalia; Lagomorpha; Leporidae.
GGAUGUGAGGGCAAUCUGGCUGCGACAUCUGUCACCCCAUUGAUCGCCAGGGUUGAUUCGGCUGAUCUGGCUGGCUAGGUGGGUGUCCCCUUCCUCCCUCACCGCUCCAUGUGCAUCCCUCCCGAAGCUGCGCACUCGGUCGAAGAGGACGACCUUCCCCGCUAGAGGAGGACCGGUCUUCGGUCAAGGGUAUACGAGUAGCUGCGCUCCCCUGCUAGAAACUCCAAAUAAGCUCUCAAGGUAGAAACAAUUCUUUGAAUUUUAUUUUAAAUACCAAAAAACAAUAAAACCUUCACUUUUAAAUUUAUUACAAAUUUAGUCACU